Molecule: ribosomal RNA, 253 nt
Filed under: uncultured bacterium
Lineage: Bacteria
Description: partial 16S ribosomal RNA
Rfam family: Bacterial small subunit ribosomal RNA
Source: RNAcentral
UACGAAGGGGGCUAGCGUUGUUCGGAAUGACUGGGCGUAAAGGGCGCGUAGGCGGAUGGCACAGUCAGAUGUGAAAUUCCCGGGCUUAACCUGGGGGCUGCAUUUGAUACUUGUGAUCUAGAGUGAGGAAGAGGGUCGUGGAAUUCCCAGUGUAGAGGUGAAAUUCGUAGAUAUUGGGAAGAACACCGGUGGCGAAGGCGGCGACCUGGUCCUUGACUGACGCUGAGGCGCGAAAGCGUGGGGAGCAAACAGG